Molecule: ribosomal RNA, 579 nt
Filed under: Cordyceps farinosa
Lineage: Eukaryota; Fungi; Ascomycota; Sordariomycetes; Hypocreales; Cordycipitaceae
Description: eukaryotic LSU rRNA
Rfam family: 5.8S ribosomal RNA (bases 211-365)
Source: RNAcentral
GGUUUCCUAGGUGAACCGGAGGGAUCAUUACCGAGUUUUCAACUCCCAACCCUUUUGUGAACAUACCUAUCGUUGCUUCGGCGGACUCGCCCCAGCGUCCGGCCGGCCCCGCGCCGGCCGCGGCCUGGAUCCAGGCGGCCGCCGGAGACCCCCAAACUCAGUAUUCUCAGUAUCUUCUGAAUCCGCCGCAAGGCAAAACAAAUGAAUCAAAACUUUCAACAACGGAUCUCUUGGUUCUGGCAUCGAUGAAGAACGCAGCGAUAUUGCGAUAAGUAAUGUGAAUUGCAGAAUUCAGUGAAUCAUCGAAUCUUUGAACGCACAUUGCGCCCGCCAGCAUUCUGGCGGGCAUGCCUGUUCGAGCGUCAUUUCAACCCUCGACUUCCCUUUGGGGAAAUCGGCGUUGGGGACCGGCCGUAUACCGCCGGCCGGCGAAAUGAAGUGGCGGCCCGUCCGCGGGCACCUCUGCGUAGUAAUCCAACUCGCACCGGAACCCCGACGUGGCCACGCCGUAAAACCCCCGACUUCUGAACGUUGACCUCGGAUCAGGUAGGAAUACCCGCUGAACUUAAGCAUAUAUAC